This 520-nucleotide unclassified non-coding RNA is filed under the name uncultured Glomus. Its description in RNAcentral is "SSU rRNA". It matches the Rfam family "Eukaryotic small subunit ribosomal RNA", at positions 569 to 1091 of the family's 1831-position model. Lineage: Eukaryota; Fungi; Glomeromycota; Glomeromycetes; Glomerales; Glomeraceae. The record is from RNAcentral.
AGCAGCCGCGGUAAUUCCAGCUCCAAUAGCGUAUAUUAAAGUUGUUGCAGUUAAAAAGCUCGUAGUUGAAUUUCGGGACCAAUUUGUUGGUCGUGCCUCGGUACGUACUGGUAUUAUUGGUUUCUCCCUUCUGAAGAACCUCGAUGCCAUUAAUUUGGUGUCGUGGGGAAUCAGGACUGUUACUUUGAAAGAAUUAGAGUGUUUAAAGCAAGCAUACGCUUGAAUACAUUAGCAUGGAAUAAUGAAAUAGGACGUUUGAUUCUAUUUUGUUGGUUUCUAGGAUCGACGUAAUGAUUAAUAGGGAUAGUUGGGGGCAUUAGUAUUCAAUUGUCAGAGGUGAAAUUCUUGGAUUUAUUGAAGACUAACUACUGCGAAAGCAUUUGCCAAGGAUGUUUUCAUUAAUCAAGAACGAAAGUUAGGGGAUCGAAGACGAUCAGAUACCGUCGUAGUCUUAACCAUAAACUAUGCCGACUAGGGAUCGGAUGAUGUUAAUUUUUUAAUGACUCAUUCGGCGCCUUAC